AUUUUUGUAUUUUUAGUAGAGACGGUUUCACCAUGUUGGUCAGGCUGGUCUCGAACUCCUGACCCCAUGAUCCGCCCGUCUUGGCCUCCCAAAGUGCUGGGAUUACAGGAGUGAGCCACUGCGCCCGGCCAGAAUCUUUAUCUUUACUUAAUGUAGAGGAAAGGUGCAUCCCAAUAAAACACAGAUAAUUUGUAUAUUUUAACAGGAUCAAAUAAAUUUUUAAGUGACCAUUAUUUUAAAUGGCAUGAGAAUAAACAGACUUCUAUGGAAUUGCAGUGAAAAUUUCCUUCUAAUAAUACAAGGUUGAAGCCCUCAGAAAAAAAAAGAAAAAAAUCAUUUAAAAAUCCACAAUUUCAUAAAAUAAAUUUUAUAAUUUUACUUCUGCAAAAUAAAGUUAUGAUCACUCCUAAUUUAUUGACAUUAUUCACUUAUUAGUACAUUUCUCAAGUUUUUGCCAUAAUUCUUACUUGCAUCUACGUAAUAAGUAAAAUGAAAACAAUAAUAGUUCUUCAGAAACAUCUUUGAAACAAGAAAAAUAAAUGCAUUCAUAUAGUUCGAGAUAAAACACGUCUAUCACAAAGGACAAAAAUGAGCACUUAUGGGUGUUUACAUUCUAAAGCAAGAAAGUGAAGCACUAAUUUUCAAGUUUAAUACUUUAAAAAUUAAUGCUCUGUGGUUAAAAUAGUUUAUUACCUUCCUCCCAGUUUUUUAAUUUGAUUUCACAGCAAACUAAUGGUGCUCCCACUCUGCCAGUAUUGUAGUCCCACACUAGGAAUUAAAUGAAAAAAAGGAUAUUUGAGAACAGUAGCUAAUACACUGCUUCAUUUUUCUAAAUUACCAAAAAUGAUUAUUUAUCCUAAGGCUGAGGUAUCCCCAGCUAUUCCUUAAAAGCAGAAGUCACAUAUUGGUGAAGCACAGGCCGUGAGGCCUGUAGAGUCGUAUUUUUUGGCCUACAUUGAGGUUUUUUUUUUUUUUUUAAAUUAGUUAUUGUCAUUCUUAAAAAAUCAGGAAAUUUUAGAUGUAAGUGUGGAAUCGCCAGCAACAAUGGGCCCACAUUUCAGGUACAGCAGAACUGACGGCCUCUGUUAGAGAGGGCAUGCCUGCUCCUGUUCCCUCAGAAUCAAUCCUUACCCAUCACAUUGUCUUACAUUAGGGCCCACUUGACUCAUUUAAAUAGGUAGCUGCCUGGUUCUUGAGUUUGAAAUCCCUGUCUUAAAGGAUGAUGAAAACAAUGGUUUACGUCUAUUCUACUUUCUUAUUAGGCCUCACCGAUGUGCAGUAUAAAACACCUCUCUAAUCUUUUCCCAUGUAAUGUAUCACCAUUUCAAAGUGAGAUCUCUGCAGGCUUCCAUCAGCUUAUGCUAUCACACCCUAUUUAAAAUUAAUACAGCAAUAGCUCAAGAGCCAGGCUGAAGAAUAAGACUGGUGGCUUUCAAGGAUGUGAGGAAAGAACCCUCCACUAUUAUGAAUUACUAUUGCAUUAUGUUUCCUCUUCAAAGACCAAAUAUCAGAAAUGAAAGGCUGAUAUUUAACAUUUUAAAGACUUUUAUUUAAAACAUAAACUGUUACUGAUUAAUCAUUCAAUUUGAAUCUUAAAAAUAGAAGAAAUUAAGGAUCCUCAGAAGAAAGAAAUCCCCUAUGCAUGUAUUUAAGAUUGCUUAUUUCCUACAAAACAUGACUUAGAACUAGCUUCCAAAAAUAUACGAAAACAGAGAACAUAACUGAAAAACAGAAAAAUGAAGUAAUACAUGAAAAUGGUAUACAGAGCCACUCAAAAUAAAUAGGGAAAAAUCAGUCAUGAGGUUUUGUAUCUAUCCGUAUAUGGCAAAUACAAAGUAGGAGAAGCACAGCUGUAUCCUGUACCGGAAAGCAAAAUAACUUUCUCCCAUAAAAGGGACGCAUGAGGCCCUAUGCGAUUCAUCUCAGAACUGCUGAUUAGUUGGUAGAUCUCCUCCUCAAACACAACCACAUGAUAAACUCUGGUAAUAAUAUUCCCUAGACCAGAACUUAGUUCCUUCUCUAACACUUACAGAAAUCCUCAUAAACAUUUCUGAACCUGAGCCUUAAUAUACUCACCUACACAAAUAAACAAAAGCACCUUAAGUUUUCUACAUAAAAAGAAAUUUAAUCACUGAUGUGAGAAAAUAAAUGUACACAAAACAGUCAGUGUUUGUUACUAAAGUUUCUCUUCCAAAAUGCUAAGUGGUUUUUAAUAUUACCUAUCAGUUUGAUAUAAAAACUUCUCCAGAUAAAUUAUUGACUCCAGAUGCAUCUAAUACAUUCUAAAAAUUGAUAUCAAUGAUCAUAGUACUUGGAAUCCACCAUUAUUCUGCCUCACAAACACCUUACUACUCUUCUCCUAUAUAUUUGCAGAAAAUAUCCCAUACCCCAAAAAAACGUCUGGCAUCACACUCCAGCCUCUGACCAUGGAGAACACUACCUUCGGAAAUUGUUCCAGCCCCAGCAGAUUCAGUGAGCCCGUAUCCCUGACCAACAGGACAGCAGAAACAGAUGUUCAUGAAUCGCUGCGUGGUUGCAGAAAGUGGAGCGCCACCACACAACAGGAGACGAAUAUUUCCCCCUAGCAAGCUUCGAACUUUCCGGAAAACAAAGCUAAAGAAAAAAAUUAGAGAACCACAGGAUUUUAAAACUGAAUGGGAUUUUCCAAAUCACUUAAACUAAUCCCCCAGUUUUGAUAUGAGAGAUUUUGAGAUUAAGUUACUUAUCCAAGGUCACACAGCCAAUUUGGAGAGUCUCUUGAGCCCCAAAUGUUAAUUUUUUGAAGUUCAACAAGGUAAAGAAUUUAUUAUUUCCUCUUAAGAGCUUUUCAAGUGAUAUUCGAAUUUGAAUUGUCAGGUUUAGUUUUGUAUAGUGACAGGAAAACCCUUGCUUAUGGCCACUUUUAUAUCAUUAUUUACAUAAAAUAUUUAUCAUAUAUUAAUACUGAACAAUUCUAUCAUCUUUAUGAAAUGUAUUAAAAUCAAAUUAAUUUUUGCUUUAAUGUACUUUAUUAGAAAUGUGUAUAAUUUGUAUACCACAAUCUGUUUUUGAAGUUUCACUAAUUCAAGCUUUGAAUUGUUUGUUAAAAAUAAUCUAGUAAAUUAUCUGUGAAGCAUUUAAAAAAGGAAACAAGUUAAACAUCUAAUUGAUGUUUCUGAAAAUACACUAAUACAAAGAUUGCAUACUGCCUUGAUCAAAAAGGAGAGGUAGUACUUAAAAAAAAAAAUCUUUGCAAAAGGUGAAGACUACACGGUGACAAUUUUUUAAAAAUGGUAUUAACAGACUUUUCAAAUCAGCUUUUACAGUUAUCCCUUGGCAUCCAGUCCUCUGGAUACCAAAACCCUCAGAUGCCUAAGUCCCUUAUAUAAAACGGCAUAGUAUUUGCAUAAAGCCUACACACAUCCUCCAAAAUACUUUAAAUUAUCUCUAGAUUACUUAUAAUACCUAAUACAAUAUAAAUUCAUUGUAAAUAGUUGUUAUACUGUAUUUUCUUUUCCACUGUUAUAUUUUAUUGUUUUUUCCCCAGAAUACUUUUGAUCCACGGUUGGUUGAAUCUAAAGAUGUGGAACCUGUUGAUACAGAGGGCCGACUUUACAACUCACUGAAGAAAUAACUAACGUAAGGCAGGAAAAAAACUUACAAAGUUCUAAAUUAUGUGAAGCAUCUGAAAACUAUAUUAAUAUUACCAUAAAAAAUACUUUGAAUGUCAUACUUCCAUUUUCUAACUUCUAAGCUAUUUUAUGAUCAAAUCAUAAAUCUAUGUACUCUAUUAACACUACACAAAUACAAGCUGGAACAAAACUGAUCAUUUAAAGCUUUAAAUACAAAACAUUUAAUUAUAUUCAUACUGAAAUAAAUAUAAAAGCAAAAGAGAAACUAUUUCUCAAAAUAAUUAAAACUCCCUAAGUGUUCACAGAAAAUAUAAACUCACAAAUAGCAAAAUCUUAAGUGAAAACACACUUUUAAUGACAUUGCAGGUUUUUUAAACUGCUCAUACUAUUACAAAGGUUUUUUGUUUGCUUGUCUUUUAAAGAGACAGAGUCUCACUUUCACCCAGGGUGGUGUGCAGUGGUGCAGUCAUUGCUCCCAGGCCCAAAUAAUCCUCCCACUGGGGGCCCAAACAAUCCUCCUACUUCAGUCCCUGAAGUAGCUGGGAUUACAGAUAUAUGACACCAUGCCCAGCUAAGCAGAGAAGGAAUCUUGCUAUGUUGCCCAGGCUGGUCUUGAUUUCCUGGCCUCAAGCAAUCCUCCCAUGUCAAGAUGGAUUUUUUUUUUUUUUUUUUUUUUGAGACAAGAGUCUCGCACUCUGUCACCCAGGCUGGAGUGCAGUGGCACGAUCUCGGCUCACUGCAACCUCUGCCUCCCGAGGGAGUUCAAGCAAUUCUCCUGCUUCAGCCUCCCUAACAGCUGAGACUACAGGCACAUGCCACCACUCUGGCUAAUUUUUGUAAUUUUAGUAGAGAUGUGGUUUUGUCACGUUGGCCAGGCUGGUCUUGAAUUCCUGACCUCAGGUGAUCUGCCCGCCUUGGCCUCCCAAAGCACUGGGAUUACAGGAGUGAGCCACCGUGUUCAGCCAGGAUGGAUUUUUUUUUUUUUUUUGAGACGGAUUCUCGCUCUGUCGCCCAGGCAGACAGAUCGUGCAGUGGCGCAAUCUUGGCUCACUGCAAGCUCCGCCUCCUGGGUUCGCACCAUUCUCCUGCCUCAGCCUCCUGAGUAGCUGGGAUUACAGGCGCCCGCCACCAAGCCCCGCUAAUUUCUUUUUGUGUUUUUAGUAGAGACGGGGUUUCACUGUGUUAGCCAGGAUGGUCUCGAUCUCCUGACCUCAUGAUCCACCUGCCUCGGCCUCCCAAAGUGCUGGGAUUACAGGCAUGAGCCACCGCGCCUGGCCUGGGAUGGAUUUUUUUUAAAGAGUUCUCUUGACUUUAUGAAAUAUAUUUCUUUCUUAUAACUAUCUCAAUUAAUUGGGCUAUUAAUGUGAACUAAAUGAUUAAAUUAUCAAGAGGAGAAAGAAGGAGGUAGAGAGUCUUUACUUACCUGUCGCACAGUGGAGUAUUACGUCCUUUUGAAAUCUGUUCCAUUUUGUAAUUAUAGGCCAGAAUAAACAGAUUACGUUGAAAACUACUCAUUUCACUGACUUUAUUCAUGACAUUUUUGUAGAUCCGAUCCAUGAUUUCCUAAAUGUAUAAAAAUGAGUUUAACAUAGUUAAUAAUAACAGCUGCCUUACAUAUUCACUUAGCAUUAGAUUAACAUUUCUAGCAAUAUUAAGGCAUUUUAAAAGAAGUACUCUUCAACUGUGGAUGUGAUUCAGCAAGAAGGAAAAAACCUUUUGUGAAUUUUUCAAAAAGAUGUAUCCUAUCAAGAUCAAACUUUUAAAAUCGAACCACAAUUAGUUUAAAAAUAAAGUUUCCACAAAAAUAAUUUUUAAAAGCAGAAAUAUAUCUAGAUACUCAUAUAAAUUGUAAGAUAUUCUUUAUAUUGCUUUGCUUAUCUUACUAAUUCUGAACUAAAACCUACUCACAAAAUAAACGAACAACCGUCUGAAAUGGUUUUUCAAAAUGUCCUAACUUUAUCUUAUAAAAAUAUACAGUACCACAUUCUUUGCUCACAAAAAGACCAUGCAACGUUUGGGAGUUUUUGUUUGGCUAUUUGACUUUCGAUAUUGCACCAGGAAGUUUUCCUUGUCUGUGCUGCAUUUUGCUUGCUAGGUCCAUUACUGUGAAGUAUACUUUAAUGACUUAAAAUAAUGUUUCCUCCACAACUUUAAAUUGUACGUCAUUUUUAAGUGAACUAAGAAUUUAAGUUGGAUACUAAAGAAACUAUAAUUAUAGAAAGAAACUACUGAUUAUUUAUAUUUGACUUUGAAGUAACUAUGUAAUUAUUCUUGACGUAAGCAUUUAGGUACCCGACAAUAAUUCCCAUCAUUUCCAAACAAACUCAGCCUAUGUUAUAAGGAGCCAGAAAAUCACUGCUGCCCCAUUUCCCUUGUCUUAUUCCCAGGCCCCUAUAUUAUGUAAGGAUGAACAGCCCCUCUUAAGUCAUUCAAAGCUGCACCAGCUUCUCUGUCACUUUGUUUGGUGUUUAGGCCAGACUUUCCCUGAGGACUCAGGAGGUAACUAUACAGCUUGCUUAAAAGGAGGUGAUCUCACACUUUCCCUCCUAGCUCUCAAUAGGCUUCAAGUGUCAAUGAAUUCACCAACAGAUAUCAUGAAAAUAAUUUUUAUUUUAACAAGAAGGUAUUUAGGCAAACAAGUUGAUAAUUACACACAGAAGCUGAAAUUAAGUUGAGUGCUUAGUAAAUAAGAAAGCAAGCUAAAACAAGACUGAAGAAAUCCCAUAGCGCCUAAGGCAAUAUUUAUAAUCAAUAAGGAAUAAAUCCUACAUAAACUACCUUGUCAACAAUAUAUUUUUCACUAGCACUAAUGCUUUGUAGCGGGUGAUACUUCUUUAAUACUCAAUAUUAAAUAAGGGUCACUUCUUACCGGAACUGCUGCCAUCAGUGUUGGUUUCAACAUGGAUGUAUCCCCUUUGCUUCCUUUUUUAAUUUUUGAAGACUACAAAAUAAGAAAAAGUGAUCCAUAUAAAGUGAUCCUUAUUUUUAAAAUUCAAUGGUAUUCUUAGAUCAAAAAGCCUAUUAUAAAUUAUUUUAAUGUACUUACAGUCUAAGAAGCACUUAAAAGGCUAAAGCUCAUUUUAAAAUGAACCAUCGCUCUCGCAAUAUACUGUCAUACUGACUGAAAAAAAUGCAUUACAAUUCACUAUGAUUUUUUAGUAUUUCAAGUCACAGACACUGAACUUACCUGAUCUGCUAAAGUCUGUGGUGAAGAGUAACCAAUGCGGCAUCCGUGAGAAAGACAGACAAGCUCAGCACUUAAUUCUAGAACAUGGGCCAGAGGCAAAUAUCCAAUGUAGACAUCUUCCUCUCUAAAAGAAAAGGGAGACGUCAGAAACAAAAGUCAGGUGUCGUCUAUGCCAAAAGUGCCCUAUAAUGGGAGCAAGCUUGAAGGCACAUGGAAGGGCCCCAGGGCAUCAAUUUGCUGGUCAAGUGUGUAUGUGUUUGUGAGAGAGAGAGAGAGACAGGUGAAAACAGAGGAUAGGCAGAUGCUGGGGAUGGGAGGGAAAAAGAAUUACAGCUCAACCCAAAAGCAAGGAGGCGCACACUUGCAGGAAGGAAUGCUGUUUCCCGUCCUACUUAAAAGCACUCAGGAAUUAUAAGCGUUGCUGAAGCAAAGUACUGAGGCACAAGAAACAGUGGCUUAAACAAAUAAUAAUACAGGGUUCUUUUGAAGAACAGAAGAAAUCAUCCAAGGAGGAAAUGGUCUUUACAUCUAGUGGGUUGCCAACCAGAAGAGUUAAAGUAGAAUCCACAACUAUCUGCCAGAAAUUUUACAGAUAAGACUCUUGUUGUGGGAAUUGGAUUACAUAAUAAAUUAGAUCUUAAUAUACAGAAAAUGUGUAAGUAUUUGUAUAUACUUCAAGAGCUGCCCCCAUAACCAAAAUAUAGAAGGUAACUGAGGCAAACCUGUAAGAAAAUUGUUGCACUUAAUUUUUUCUGAAAUGUAUGCAUACGUAAGAGACAUUCCUCCAUCCCCAAGUUCAGUACCAUAGCAAUUACGUGAGUGUGUGUGUGCGUGUAUGUUUGUAAUUUCUGUGCAUAAAAGCAUCAAAAAUAUCCAACCACUGUACCCUAUCGGUCAUCAGAAUACCAAUUGCAUCUCUGGCAAUGUUUCCUUGACAGUCCCUCAAACUUCCAUCUGGUUUCCUCCAUCAGUCUCUUCCCCACUCCACUCUACCUUCCACUGCUACCACUGGAGUUUGUAUUAACAAGAAAAAUCAGAGACCAAAUACUGAAGCUCAACAAAUACUUAGUGGAUAAAUUAAGUUACCUGUUCACCUGAAUUGUAUUUAGAUAUAAAAAAAACUACAGCAGCAAAUACAAGCUGAUUAAAACAAAGGAUUUACAACUAUACAAAUUUAAGUUCUGUACUUUUUAAAAUAUAUCUAUAUGAUAUAUUUUCAACCUCACAACUAUAACUAUUUUGCCAUUAAUUUUAAUGUCCUUUUUUAUUUUUUAAGGAAAUGCCUACUACAAACAGACUCUGAGGGACUAAUUUAGCCAUAUAUUAAUAAAAUGACACAAAUGCUAACAUUAUAACAGACAUAAAUACUUAACUACUCAAUGUUACUUUACUAUGACAUACCCUAGUUCUGGAAUCCUUUCUGCCAUCCCAGUUAUACCAGCAAUAAUGUUACUAUGUGAGAUCAUGACUCCCUUUGGAAGUCCUGUGGAUCCACUUGUGUACAUGAUUACUGCAAUAUCUGAGGGCAAUGGUUUGCUAUGAGGUUGGUUUUCUGCAUUGAAGAGAAAAAACACACACAUACACUUUCAUGAGAUUCAGCUGUAUCAACAAUUUCUUUUCAUUAUCAUCAAAUAAAUAACUCAAUCAAAUUGAGUUAAUUUAACUCAAUUCAACAAAUAUUAGUUAUACUGAGAUCAACAAAACAGAUCAAGUCCCUGCACGUAUGGGAGAUAUAUUCUAUUGAGAUAUACAAACAGAUUAACCUAUGAAGAAAACUGAAGCAAGACAAGGUGAGAAGAUGACAAUAGAUGCUAUUUGGAUGGAAAAGCCUGGAGACCGUCUCUGUAGAGUUUCGUUUAGCAAAGGCCUGAAUAAAGUGAGGAAGGGAGCCAUGGAAACCCUGGAACUGGGAGAAGAGUGUUCUAAUUAGAAGGAAAUAAGCAAAUGCAAAGACCCAAAGGUAGGAAUGUGCUCAGCAUAUCUAAAGACCAGCAAGGAGUGUGGCUGGAACAGAGUGAGCAAGAGGAAGAGUGGCAAGAAACAAUAGUCAAGUGGCUAUCAGGGACCACACAUAGGACCUCAAAGGCCACGGGAAGAACUCUGGAUUACGUUCUGGAUGUAAAGCAAUGUUGUUUUGAACAGGAGUAUGUUAUUAUCUGUGAAAAAAAAGAUCACUUUGGCUGCUGUGUGGCUAACUAACUUUACAAGGGGAAAAAAGGUAUCAGGGAGACAAGAUUAUCCCAGUAAUUCAACUAAGAAAUAAAGGUAGCUUUGGACUAGAGUAUCUAGGUGUUUGCUAAAAACUAUUCACUGCUUCAGAAUGGUGACUAACUUGGUUACACUCAGAGUCCUGCAUUAAAACACGAUGUGAACCAUUUGAAAUCAGAAGAGUACCAGCCUAAGGACAACAGCUGAGAAGCUAUAGAGGUGGCACAGCAGAAGAACAAAGAGAAAUAGGUCAUGGUUGGCAUUGCUGAUAUGUCUGAACCACUCCCAGAACUACUCUACAUGUGAACUUCUAAAUGAGUGUGAAAAAAUUAUUUAAAUGUACUCCCAAUAGAAUACCCUUCCUCUCCUGUCAGUCAAGAUACAUUUCUUAAAUAAUGUUUACACUUGGAAGUCUUUACUUCCAAAUCAGCCCUUCACUCCUUCAAUGCACAGCACCCUUCUCCAACACCACCACUUCUUGGAAAUUACAAUCCUUGUGUCAUCUGACCUCUGCAUGCAGCCCCUGAUCCUGCUGAUGACUCACCAAGAUCUCCUUUCCCUUGGCUUCCAGGAACCACAUACUACUAGAUAUUUUCUUCUUUCCUCUCUGACUAGUCCUUAGUAGCCUCUGAAGCCACCAUUCCCUGUUGGUGACCUCACCCCCUACUCCCACAGCUAUAAUUAAAACCUAACUGCUUCUAGCUUCCAAAUCUCUAAGUCCAAACAUAACUCGAGUACUAGACUUUUACACACCACUGUCCACAAUAUAUCUGCAUCUAAAUAUCCCACUACCACUCAAAUUCCAGGUGCCUAAAAUUUGAGUUGAGUGAAUGCUUACAUCUAAUUACUAGGUUUCCAACUACAGAGGAAAUGCAGUCCCAGCAUCCCAGCAGCUUUUGCAGUAUCUCUAAACACUAGUACACUAGCUAACAUUUUCUGACGCUUUUUUGAGAAUAGGAACUUGUAGAGUCACCAUGCCUAGGUGUGCUAGUUGGAGGGUAAGGUUUUCACCUCAGGAAAGGGAAGAACUGGAACAGGGAGUAAAAGGAGGCCUCCAGGUUUAGCCACUCUGUUAACACUUACAGGUAAUUCACAUAGGACAAGAUAAAUGUCAUUAUUUAUAAACUAACUUUAAACCACCCAAAACUAUCACCAUAAAAAAGAAAUGAAAACUGAAUGUAAAAUAUUUUAAAUUUCAAAUAAAUACUACCUUUAAAACAUUAAUAAUUAAUGUUUAUAUUUUUCCUUAAAACUUUCUUUAAAGACAAGAUGAAAGUAUACCUAGAGGGACCUGUUUUCCUAACUGAUGUUAGAAAACUGAUGUGUC
RNAcentral lists this long non-coding RNA (10333 nucleotides) under Homo sapiens (human). RNAcentral describes it as "HSALNT0047834". The record is from RNAcentral. Lineage: Eukaryota; Metazoa; Chordata; Mammalia; Primates; Hominidae.